Molecule: long non-coding RNA, 168 nt
Filed under: Cercocebus atys (sooty mangabey)
Lineage: Eukaryota; Metazoa; Chordata; Mammalia; Primates; Cercopithecidae
Description: lncRNA (ENSCATG00000045778.1)
Source: RNAcentral
GUAAAGCCCAGCACAGUGUCUGGCAUCUGGUAAGCUCCCAUCAUGUCAGCUGUUGGCGUAGGUGGUGUUGGUGAGAUGCGGGGCCUGGAAUUCACUGGACGCUCUGGUGCAGAGUCUGAACAGAAGCGGAUGACAAGACCCAAGGAGCUGGAGGAGCCACACAACUGA